CCUACGGGAGGCAGCAGUGGGGAAUCUUGCGCAAUGGGCGAAAGCCUGACGCAGCAACGCCGCGUGCGGGAUGAAGGCCUUCGGGUUGUAAACCGCUUUUAACAGGAACGAAAAUGACGGUACCUGUAGAAUAAGGUGCGGCCAACUACGUGCCAGCAGCCGCGGUGACACGUAGGCACCAAGCGUUGUCCGGAUUUAUUGGGCGUAAAGAGCUCGUAGGCGGUUCAGUAAGUCGGGUGUGAAAACUCUGGGCUUAACCCAGAGACGCCACUCGAUACUACUGUGACUAGAGUUCGGUAGGGGAGCGGGGAAUUCCUAGUGUAGCGGUGAAAUGCGCAGAUAUUAGGAGGAACACCGGUGGCGAAGGCGCCGCUCUGGGCCGAUACUGACGCUGAGGAGCGAAAGCGUGGGUAGCAAACAGGAUUAGAUACCCUGGUAGUCCACGCCGUAAACGGUGGGCACUAGGUGUGGGCUCCAACCAACGGAGUCCGCGCCGUCGCUAACGCAUUAAGUGCCCGCCUGGGGAGUACGCCGCGAGUAACGUACANAGAGUAGACGCGNGAGAACGUGCGAGACGACGACGAGGGAGAGG
Molecule: ribosomal RNA, 592 nt
Filed under: uncultured bacterium
Lineage: Bacteria
Description: bacterial SSU rRNA
Rfam family: Bacterial small subunit ribosomal RNA (bases 1-520)
Source: RNAcentral